CGGGUGAGUAAUGUAUGGGGAUCUGCCCGAUAGAGGGGGAUAACUACUGGAAACGGUGGCUAAUACCGCAUAAUGUCUACGGACCAAAGCAGGGGCUCUUCGGACCUUGCACUAUCGGAUGAACCCAUAUGGGAUUAGCUAGUAGGUGGGGUAAAGGCUCACCUAGGCGACGAUCUCUAGCUGGUCUGAGAGGAUGAUCAGCCACACUGGGACUGAGACUCGGCCCAGACUCCUACGGGAGGCAGCAUG
This 249-nucleotide ribosomal RNA is filed under the name uncultured bacterium. RNAcentral's name for it is "partial 16S ribosomal RNA". It matches the Rfam family "Bacterial small subunit ribosomal RNA", at positions 103 to 353 of the family's 1533-position model. The record is from RNAcentral.